This 890-nucleotide long non-coding RNA is filed under the name Chrysemys picta bellii (western painted turtle). Its description in RNAcentral is "lncRNA (ENSCPBG00000003694.1)". The record is from RNAcentral. Lineage: Eukaryota; Metazoa; Chordata; Testudines; Emydidae.
GCCUCCUUGGUCUCUGCCGUGCGCCGGGGGCACCGGGACGGGACCUUCAGCCUGGUGACCGUCUACAGAUUCACCCCCAUGGAGCGGGAUCUGGGGGCGCUGUUCUCCUGCCGGGCACGGCACCCCCUGCUGAACCAGUCCCACCAGGCCGACUUCUGGAUCUCCUUCAGGGCUGGCGGGCUGGAGAUGGGGCUCAGGGUCCUGCUGUGGGCGCUGCGAGCGUCACUGCUGCUGGCCAUGGCCAUGGGGGGCUGGCUCUACUGCGACACCAGCAGCCGGCCGAGGAAGAUGGUGGAGCAGGUGAUGGAGCAGGCGAUGGAGCGGAUCUGGGACCCCCUGCAUCAGAGGUUCCAGCAGGCUCGGGAGGUGAUCUCCUCCUGGAGCAGAUAGGAGGAUCCCACUGCUGCCUGCAGCACCCUGGCUCUCCGUCCCCGCAGCGCUGUCCGUGCCUCCCGUGCCCCCCUUGUCCUGUGGCAUCUGGCGCUCCAGCUGUGAUGUUGUGCAGUCUAUAUGGUUUUAUACAAAUAUGCUAAUGGGUGAAUAUAAUGUAACUGGGAUAUGCUUCAUGCAAAAGGUCUCUUGUAAGGUAUCAUUACAAAGCUUAUAAUCUACUGAGUGUGAUCAUCCUAGUUGUAUAAAUGUACCACUCUUGUAUCUGAAGCUAGGAAUAUGAAAUAUAACUCUGAGGGCCUAUUGCGAAGUGUGGGCCAUUAAUGGUGGUUUGGAAUCUUAAUGGCUCCCAUCAACCAGGACAAUUGCCUGGGGCUCUGUUUGCAGGCCGGCCUUCCCGUGAGUCAGGAUGGGCGGAAUGAAGGCUUGGGGGUCUUGCAGUGACAUGUGAUCCUGUCACAUGAACUGGAAUCCAUCUUUAACCUGGUGCUUUUCCAGUG